RNAcentral lists this ribosomal RNA (468 nucleotides) under uncultured bacterium. RNAcentral describes it as "partial 16S ribosomal RNA". It matches the Rfam family "Bacterial small subunit ribosomal RNA", at positions 28 to 507 of the family's 1533-position model. The record is from RNAcentral.
GACGAACGCUGGCGGCGUGCUUAACACAUGCAAGUCGAACGGAAAGGCCCUGCUUUUGUGGGGUGCUCGAGUGGCGAACGGGUGAGUAACACGUGAGUAACCUGCCCUUGACUUUAGGAUAACUUCAGGAAACUGGGGCUAAUACCGGAUAGGAGCUCCUGCUGCAUGGUGGGGGUUGGAAAGUUUCGGCGGUUGGGGAUGGACUCGCGGCUUAUCAGUUUGUUGGUGGGGUAGUGGCUUACCAAGGCUUUGACGGGUAGCCGGCCUGAGAGGGUGACCGGCCACAUUGGGACUGAGAUACGGCCCAGACUCCUACGGGAGGCAGCAGUGGGGAAUAUUGCACAAUGGGCGGAAGCCUGAUGCAGCAACGCCGCGUGCGGGAUGACGGCCUUCGGGUUGUAAACCGCUUUCGCCUGUGACGAAGCGUGAGUGACGGUAAUGGGUAAAGAAGCACCGGCUAACUACGUG